AUUAUUACAAUACUAUCGUAUUUGUGGUUGAGAAGGAACGAGCAACCAAUGUAUGAACAGACACAUGUUAGGAAGCUACUGGUUCUUGGUCUGCUUGCCUUCUUGGCCGAGGUAAUUCUAACCCACAACAAUAUGCGUAUUCAAAUGGCAAACAAUUCUAACACGCCUUUAAAGAAUAGAGAAAAUAGAUCAAAUUUUAGUGUUCCUAUAAAUCAAAGUUAUGAAAUAAAAAUAAGAACACAACAAAUCUUGUAAGCCUCAGAUAGCAGUCUACUUGACAUCAAGAAAAUUCAGCCGGUAAUUCCAACUAAAAGAACAAAUCAUCAUUGGCUUUUGAAAUCAAU
Cucurbita moschata (crookneck pumpkin) is the source of this 344-nucleotide long non-coding RNA. RefSeq lists it as uncharacterized. Lineage: Eukaryota; Viridiplantae; Streptophyta; Magnoliopsida; Cucurbitales; Cucurbitaceae. The transcript is spliced from 2 exons. The record is from RefSeq and is a predicted model, not a curated record.